UAUAUUUUUAUAUAUUCAUAUGUAUUUAUAGAAAAAAAAUCCUUUGCAGUGUUAACUGAAUCUCUUAUCCCUUUUCCUCUGAGGUAUGUGCUGCACGGUGUAUCAGUGUAUUGAGGUUAGAUACAAACUCUGCUCAUGCUCUGAGGUGACCAAAAUCUGUAUGACCAGAGAAGUGUGCUGCAGCAUACUGGCGGUGAGCACCAGCUGAAGGCUUCUCUGGAUCCAUGCAUCCCACCUGGAGUUCAGGCACAGCUCACACGAUGACGUGAUGGGCAGAAGGGCUGUAGCUAUGAUUAAAGACUGCUUGCUAACCCAGUUCCUGUCUGCAGGAUUAGAUACAGCUCAGGAGAAAUAUGUUCCAAGUGACAGCAUCUUUGACAACCUGUACUUUUUGUUCUGCCUUUUGUUCUUCUUCCUAUGAAAAGCCAUGUGAUGAAGAUUGCUGGAGAACAUUGAUACCUUACCUACUUAUGAAAAAUAAAUAAAUAAAUAAAUAAAUAAAAAAGAAGUAA
This 512-nucleotide long non-coding RNA is filed under the name Anas platyrhynchos platyrhynchos (common mallard). RNAcentral describes it as "lncRNA (ENSAPLG00000027323.1)". The record is from RNAcentral. Lineage: Eukaryota; Metazoa; Chordata; Aves; Anseriformes; Anatidae.